RNAcentral lists this long non-coding RNA (516 nucleotides) under Manihot esculenta (cassava). RNAcentral describes it as "long non-coding RNA (MESC_LNC003356)". The record is from RNAcentral. Lineage: Eukaryota; Viridiplantae; Streptophyta; Magnoliopsida; Malpighiales; Euphorbiaceae.
CUGGAUUUAACCCUAGCUUUCUGUUUUCUCUUUUUUGGAGAGAGAAUCUCCUGUGGGGAAUGCAGAGAGAUGAGAGGUGCUUUGUUGACCAAGAGUGAACUCUGUGGCCGUGCUAAGCGGUGUAUCGGCGGCAGAAAUUGCCACCGGAAACACGUCGAAGACGGGUGAUCUGUUUCUCAGUCCACCGGAUCGCAUAAUCUUGCUCCUGUUUAUUUUUUUUUCUCAGAAUUUUCUUUUUUCCAUUACUCGCACCUGAACAUCUCAUAUUCUCUUUGUAUAUUCUGUUUGACAAAAAUAUUCUCUGUACCGAAUCUCUCUUUGUAUCCAUGGGAGAAAGGCGCAGAGAUGGUCAGUCAACCCUGCUCCAUGGGAGAUACGAGCUCGGCCGGAUGCUGGGACAUGGCACCUUCGCUAAGGUCUACCUUGCUCGCAAUUUACAGUCGGGAAAGAGCGUGGCGAUGAAGGUGGUCGGUAAAGAGAAGGUGAUCAAGGUCGGUAUGAUGGAGCAAAUCAAGA